Molecule: long non-coding RNA, 475 nt
Organism: Bombyx mori (domestic silkworm)
Lineage: Eukaryota; Metazoa; Arthropoda; Insecta; Lepidoptera; Bombycidae
Exons: 2
Source: RefSeq, a predicted model, not a curated record
UUUGACAGUUGUUUGACACAAUAAAUUAUCUUGGGCAUUUCGUGAUAAAUUGAAUAUCUUCCACGUUAUUGAAAGAAAAGAAAUAUAUUUCGAUUAUCGCAAUGUCCGGGCUCACUUAAUUUGUAAGCAGCGGUUAUGCGUUUACAAUUGACAAUAAUUUUUGGUGAUUAUGAUGACGUGCCGCUUAGUUUUCAGGAUGAAAUUGAAGUGGAAACUUUGCAGAAGAUUAUAGAUUCGUUUUGCAUACUGUAGAGUCAGUUUACAGUUAAGUUUAAAAAUAGUAAAAACUAAAGAUAUAAUUUUAAAAUACUUUAAUAAUCCCCCAAAGUUAAUUGUUUUGCAUUUACUUGCAUUGCAGGGAACCCUUUAGUCCGUGUUGUACCACGCACGGAUUGAUAAUCCGCAUGUAUCCGAUGUAACAUAAUACUACGAUACCAUUAUGUAAAUAAAGGAAUAUUGUGUAUAUUUAAAUGAA